CGUGCGCUGUCGCCGAAUCCCGCACGUGGAGCACCGGCGGUCCCCUCGGGGCCGCCCGCACCGUGGGAACCGGGGAACCACCCCUUCUCGUCGUAAAGGCGGGAAGGACGGGGUGAAUCGGACGCUCUCGACCGGGGGCGCCCGUAGGAGACCUUCCUGCUCCGAACCCGUCAGCUAACCCGGUAGGCGAGAAGGAAGGAAAG
This 203-nucleotide small RNA is filed under the name Streptomyces sp. RNAcentral describes it as "c-di-AMP sequence". The stretch from base 43 to 203 matches the Rfam family "c-di-AMP riboswitch aptamer (ydaO/yuaA leader)". From Rfam's summary of the family: This family represents a conserved RNA structure found upstream of the ydaO and yuaA genes in Bacillus subtilis and related genes in other bacteria. The record is from RNAcentral. Lineage: Bacteria; Bacillati; Actinomycetota; Actinomycetes; Kitasatosporales; Streptomycetaceae.